GAUGAACGCUAGCUACAGGCUUAACACAUGCAAGUCGAGGGGAAACGAUAGAGAAAGCUUGCUUUUUCUAGGCGUCGACCGGCGCACGGGUGAGUAACGCGUAUCCAACCUGCCCAUCACUUGGGGAUAACCUUGCGAAAGUAAGACUAAUACCCAAUGACGUCUCUAGAAGACAUCUGAAGGAGAUUAAAGAUUUAUCGGUGAUGGAUGGGGAUGCGUCUGAUUAGCUUGUUGGCGGGGUAACGGCCCACCAAGGCGACGAUCAGUAGGGGUUCUGAGAGGAAGGCCCCCCACAUUGGAACUGAGACACGGUCCAAACCCCUACGGGAGGCAGCAGUGAGGAAUAUUGGUCAAUGGACGAGAGUCUGAACCAGCCAAGUAGCGUGCAGGAUGACGGCCCUAUGGGUUGUAAACUGCUUUUAUAAGGGAAUAAAGUGAGUCUCGUGAGACUUUUUGCAUGUACCUUAUGAAUAAGGAACCGGCGUAAUUCCGUGCCAGCAGCCG
RNAcentral lists this ribosomal RNA (504 nucleotides) under uncultured bacterium. Its description in RNAcentral is "bacterial SSU rRNA". It matches the Rfam family "Bacterial small subunit ribosomal RNA", at positions 28 to 517 of the family's 1533-position model. The record is from RNAcentral.